GGUGAUAAAAGUAAUACCUGGAGUUCCCGUCGUGGCGCAGUGCUUAACGAAUCCGACUAAGAACCAUGAGGUCGCGGGUUCGAUCCCUGGCCUUGCUCAGUGGGUUAACGAUCCGGCGUUGCCGUGAGCUGUGGUGUAGGUUGCAAACGCGGCUCGGAUCCCGCGUUGCUGUGGCUCUGGCGUAAGCCGGUGGCUACAGCUCCGAUUCGACCCCUAGCGUGGGAACCUCCAUAUGCCGCGGGAGCGGCCCAAGAAAUAGCAACAACAACAACAAAACAAAAAAAAAAAAAAAAUUAAUACCUAACACAUAUUGAAUGUUUUAAGAUUUACAAAUAUCAUUUUGUUUAAUCCAAACUACAACCCUCUCAGGUAAACAUUAUUACUAUCUCUGGUUCACAUAAAAGAAAAUUAUAAUUCAAGGUCACACAAUUAAGUGAUAAAACUCUUUUCUUUUUUGUUCUCCAGAGAGAUCUUCUAACAUAAUAAUUAAGAGAAUGGGUUUAGAGCCAUGCAGACCUGUGUUUAAAGACAUCUGUGCUCCACCAUUUAGCACAGAGAUUGCCACUGAUAUAAAUACUUGAUGCUUUCUCAGCAUGACUGGAAUACGGUCCAAGGAACUGAGCCUCUGCUGAGUGCAAUACUUGCCUUUGGAAAUGCAUUCUUAGAUCUCCAAGACCCUGUGAAGAUGCAAUACAUCACCAAGGAAAUGACUCUCUAG
Molecule: long non-coding RNA, 718 nt
Filed under: Sus scrofa (pig)
Lineage: Eukaryota; Metazoa; Chordata; Mammalia; Artiodactyla; Suidae
Description: lncRNA (ENSSSCG00040038491.1)
Source: RNAcentral